CUAGUAUUAUUUAUAUGUUCAAUACUUAUUUAUGCUGCCAGGUCCUCCCUCUCUGUAUCUAUAGUUGAAAUGGCCUCAGAAUUUGACUGGAAUAAAAGAACGUGUGGUAUCAUUCUCUCCUCAUUCUUCUGGGGUUACAGUGCUACUAGGUGAUAGGAGGACAGUUAGGUGAUAAAUAUGGUGGAGAGCUAGUACUGUGGACAUCAGCACUGGUUUGGGGUGGGGCAGUUCUAUCAAUAUCUUUUGUAGCUAGUAUAUCAACCACUUUAGUAUUUGGAGCUCAUCUCACUAAUGGACUUAGUCAAGGUGUGUAUUUCCCUGCUAUUGCU
Molecule: long non-coding RNA, 329 nt
Organism: Amphimedon queenslandica
Lineage: Eukaryota; Metazoa; Porifera; Demospongiae; Haplosclerida; Niphatidae
Exons: 3
Source: RefSeq, a predicted model, not a curated record